This 714-nucleotide ribosomal RNA is filed under the name uncultured Bacilli bacterium. Its description in RNAcentral is "bacterial SSU rRNA". It matches the Rfam family "Bacterial small subunit ribosomal RNA", at positions 31 to 716 of the family's 1533-position model. The record is from RNAcentral. Lineage: Bacteria; Bacillati; Bacillota; Bacilli.
GAACGCUGGCGGCGUGCCUAAUACAUGCAAGUCGAACGCUUCUUUUUCCACCGGAGCUUGCUCCACCGGAAAAAGAGGAGUGGCGAACGGGUGAGUAACACGUGGGUAACCUGCCCAUCAGAAGGGGAUAACACUUGGAAACAGGUGCUAAUACCGUAUAACAAUCGAAACCGCAUGGUUUUGAUUUGAAAGGCGCUUUCGGGUGUCGCUGAUGGAUGGACCCGCGGUGCAUUAGCUAGUUGGUGAGGUAACGGCUCACCAAGGCCACGAUGCAUAGCCGACCUGAGAGGGUGAUCGGCCACAUUGGGACUGAGACACGGCCCAAACUCCUACGGGAGGCAGCAGUAGGGAAUCUUCGGCAAUGGACGAAAGUCUGACCGAGCAACGCCGCGUGAGUGAAGAAGGUUUUCGGAUCGUAAAACUCUGUUGUUAGAGAAGAACAAGGAUGAGAGUAACUGUUCAUCCCUUGACGGUAUCUAACCAGAAAGCCACGGCUAACUACGUGCCAGCAGCCGCGGUAAUACGUAGGUGGCAAGCGUUGUCCGGAUUUAUUGGGCGUAAAGCGAGCGCAGGCGGUUUCUUAAGUCUGAUGUGAAAGCCCCCGGCUCAACCGGGGAGGGUCAUUGGAAACUGGGAGACUUGAGUGCAGAAGAGGAGAGUGGAAUUCCAUGUGUAGCGGUGAAAUGCGUAGAUAUAUGGAGGAACACCAGUGGC